GUGUGUGUGUGUGUGUGCGCGCGCGCGCGGUUCGUUCGUGUCUCCUGGCUAGUAAGUACUGAGGGCUUCAUCUAUCUAAAAGGAGUCAUUUCCAUCUGAAUGUGGCAGCACCGGGACACAGCAGCAGAGCGAGUCAACAUCCAGAAGACUGGAGCCGUGUUUCACUGACAGGCUGUCAGACUAACGCCCUGAUGAGCUCAGCUGGGACAAACUGGUCUGAUGUUUAGGAACACAGAACGUUCAGAUGUUGGAGCUUCACGUCACCUACUGAGGAAGGAGACCCACCAGUAAAGAGACGGUCUGGACCAGACCAAAAAUAUGGCGAUGACAUCAUGGAACUGGUCUUUGGAAAAGUUUUCCCUGAACCAACUCAGUUUCUAGAUGAGGUAGAGAAGAUCUGCAUCUCACCAACUCUCUGGUCUCAGUAUUCAGACAACGGAGGUCUCCCACUGUUAUCCAGGACCAGUUUGAAGCCCACAUACUGCCCCUCCCUCAUCAUCAGGAAACAUCAAUCCGUAUCCUGAGGACAACAGAAGACGGCAGGAGGACAGGAACUCUGAGACCUAGAUACCACCAGCACCGGGACACAAAGCACCUGUGUGCACAAUGCCUGUUUAACUACUAAAACCUGUUUAUUAUAUUGUUCUACUUAUUUGCUGUGAGGUUAAUACUUAGAAAAUUAGUAUUUUAAUGUAAACAAUAAAAAAAUCACUGAUUGUAUGUUUUCUUUUAGAUGUAAUGGUCCAAACUCAGCCUUGUAGACAUUUAUUGCAUCCUGUAGGUAAAUACACAGAACAGGCUCAGAUCCAGGAUGACCCAGCAUGCUCUUCUUCCAUUCUGGCUGUUAGGGAUUGUAUCAAUAACUCAAUGCCUACUGAUGUUUUCACCUAACGGUAUUUAUUUAGAAUGCAGGUAAGAUUUAACUAUAUUUGUUAGCAAAGCAGACUGAUCUUGGGAAUUUCACUGCAGCACUGAUGUCCACCUGUGUGUACACAUUAGAGAGAAUUACCACUUUACAGCUAAACACAUU
Long non-coding RNA from Nothobranchius furzeri (turquoise killifish), 1030 nucleotides. RefSeq lists it as uncharacterized. The record is from RefSeq and is a predicted model, not a curated record. NCBI's taxonomy places the organism in Eukaryota, Metazoa, Chordata, Actinopteri, Cyprinodontiformes, Nothobranchiidae.